This 301-nucleotide ribosomal RNA is filed under the name uncultured bacterium. RNAcentral's name for it is "partial 16S ribosomal RNA". It matches the Rfam family "Bacterial small subunit ribosomal RNA", at positions 509 to 809 of the family's 1533-position model. The record is from RNAcentral.
CAGUAGCCGCGGUAAUACGUAGGGUGCAAGCGUUAAUCGGAAUUACUGGGCGUAAAGCGUGCGCAGGCGGUUUUGUAAGACAGAGGUGAAAUCCCCGGGCUCAACCUGGGAACUGCCUUUGUGACUGCAAGGCUAGAGUACGGCAGAGGGGGAUGGAAUUCCGCGUGUAGCAGUGAAAUGCGUAGAUAUGCGGAGGAACACCGAUGGCGAAGGCAAUCCCCUGGGCCUGUACUGACGCUCAUGCACGAAAGCGUGGGGAGCAAACAGGAUUAGAUACCCCGGUAGUCCCUGUCUCUUAUAA